AGAUUUUCAUAGUGGGAUCGCUCGCUCAUCAGAGUAAAAGCACUAUGGCAUCGCUUAAUCGAAAAAGAUGGCACGAUGUUAUUUUAUUUCUUCUUGUAGCAUCUGCCAUUGGAUUCUCUUCGGGGCAUUUGACAUUGAGACAAGCAUUUUUAGCACACAAGACCGAAGAGACGAAAACAUCAACCACAACUCCAGGUCCAUCUAAUCCAGUGGAAACACAGACGACCCAGGAAUCUAUCGGAUUUGAAAGAGAAAGAAACAGGAUCGUGGUAGAUUUGCUCACGCCAAUUCCUCGCAGCGUCUGUCUUCUCACGCAACUGACAAGUACCAUGAGAAAUUUUUGACACGACUUUACAAGGAACUGAAAGAAAUCAGUCGUCGAUUCUCCAAUACGCCCACAGCUUCCACACUCCUCUCUUGCAGAUCAGUCUUAAGCUGAACAAUGCAUUUCUGGUCUCCAAUAUUUAUGGGUACAAAAUCAAAUUGCAUGGUGUAAUUGUCUCCAGCAAAGUAAAAGUAGUGCCGAGUAUUUGGAGAAAUUAGGAAAUUCCAGCAGAUUAAUUGAAUUCAUAUAUUUACCGUUGAAGGACUUGAAAGAGACCAACGACCAGACUUUGAAUCUCUCCAGUCAAAUAGCCGGCCAGUUUGGGGAGUUGGUCCAAUUAGUCGACGAACUAAGUAAGUCUCUCACUUUGAAAAUAGAGCAAGCAAUAAGAAACGCCACCGCUGAUUUUGAAAAUGAGAUUAGGGAUUUUAAACGGCAACAACUGUUGGAUGAGGCAGCAUUUAAUAAGCAGUUAGAUAACUUAAAAGAUUUGCAAGCUGACAAAUCUAAGUGUCAUUGGUUCAACUGGACUACUUGGAGAAAGGACAUUUGGUAUUGUCCCCCACCUGAUUCUUCCCGAAUUCGGCAGGCCAAUCAGUCAAUAACAAUAGCCAAAGAAAACUAGAAAAUACAAUGAAAUUACUUACUGAGAAAGAAGUGGAAGCAGCAAAGAAGAAAGAGGAUAAUAAUGAGUUGUUGAUGAGAAGACUGGAAAACACUGGCAGCACACUCAGUUGACUAAAAAACAAUUUAACAGAACUGGGCAAGAACUGGAACAAAUUGGUCUCCAUCUGUUAAAACAUUCAAUCUGGUGCUGGGAAGAGCCUUGACAUAAUCAAAGAAGCAAACCAUACCUCUACACUUUGGAGCAACCAUCUUUCCGAAAACAUUUCAUUCAACCUGAACAAGACAAAGGAAGAAUUGUCUCUGAUUGAAACUACCAUGAAUAUCUACCUAGAAGGAUCUGAUAAACACAUUAAGAAAACUGUCCUAGAAAUAGAAGAAAUAAUGACGAAGAGAGAAAACCCAGAAGCAGGAGUACUAUAGAGCGCAGUCUUCCAAGAAAAUGUGACAUGGAAACUAUGGUGAAAUAAAAAGUUAACGAAAAAGAACCAGGAUAACCUGAAACCCAGCACUAGCACUUCAAAACGAUAAAUAUAUAGUUUAAAAAUUGUGUUUUGAGAUUAUCACCGUCAAUUGUUAAAAUACGUGAUACGUGCCACUUCAUUAAAUAUAAAACUGUAGAUACAUUG
RNAcentral lists this long non-coding RNA (1578 nucleotides) under Daphnia pulicaria. RNAcentral describes it as "uncharacterized LOC124313587". The record is from RNAcentral. Lineage: Eukaryota; Metazoa; Arthropoda; Branchiopoda; Diplostraca; Daphniidae.